CAGCUAACAGGGGUAGGGAAUAGGCAAGGCUGGAAGGAAUGACUAGAGAAGUCCAAGAUCUUAGGGAGGUAAGAUCUCUGUUCACCCACCCUGUGCCAAGGGAACAGAGGGUGCAUUGGUAGACAAAUCAAACUUUGAAAGUGAUCAGAGAAGCAACACCAGCUGUCCAGAGUUCCACCUGUGGCAAGAUCUGUUUGUGAGCAAAUUGAGUCCUAUCCAUGAUUCCAGAAUGUGCAGACCAGAGAUAAGAACUUCAGAUGGUAGAGAUGGGUUAUGAAGAACACGACAUCUGAAUGUUACUGUCUCUUCCCUGGACUGGGUUUAUAAAGAGUCUACAUUCCAACAAUUGUCUUGCCUGUCUUUCGCUGCACUUCAGGGAUUAAAGGACAUUCUGGCUUU
This is a long non-coding RNA of Chelonia mydas (Green sea turtle), 399 nucleotides long. RefSeq lists it as uncharacterized. The record is from RefSeq and is a predicted model, not a curated record. NCBI's taxonomy places the organism in Eukaryota, Metazoa, Chordata, Testudines, Cheloniidae. The transcript is spliced from 3 exons.